Molecule: ribosomal RNA, 301 nt
Filed under: uncultured bacterium
Lineage: Bacteria
Description: partial 16S ribosomal RNA
Rfam family: Bacterial small subunit ribosomal RNA
Source: RNAcentral
CAGUCGCCACGGUAAUACGUAGGUCCCGAGCGUCGUCCGGAUUUAUUGGGCGUAAAGCGAGCGCAGGCGGUUAGAUAAGUCUGAAGUUAAAGGCUGUGGCUUAACCAUAGUAUGCUUUGGAAACUGUUUAACUUGAGUGCAGAAGGGGAGAGUGGAAUUCCAUGUGUAGCGGUGAAAUGCGUAGAUAUAUGGAGGAACACCGGUGGCGAAAGCGGCUCUCUGGUCUGUAACUGACGCUGAGGCUCGAAAGCGUGGGGAGCAAACGGGAUUAGAGACCCGCGUAGUCCCUGUCUCUUAUACA